GGUUUUAUAGUUUAAAAAAUAUUAAAUUGCAAAUUUAAAGAUGAAUGAAUUUUCUAAGACUU
This 62-nucleotide transfer RNA is filed under the name Balclutha sp. EMHAU-2015-Zz052711. Its description in RNAcentral is "tRNA-Cys". It matches the Rfam family "tRNA". Rfam says of the family: Transfer RNA (tRNA) molecules are approximately 80 nucleotides in length. The record is from RNAcentral. Lineage: Eukaryota; Metazoa; Arthropoda; Insecta; Hemiptera; Cicadellidae.